RNAcentral lists this unclassified non-coding RNA (695 nucleotides) under Hevea brasiliensis (rubber tree). Lineage: Eukaryota; Viridiplantae; Streptophyta; Magnoliopsida; Malpighiales; Euphorbiaceae. The record is from RNAcentral.
AUCAAUGAGAGAUUUAUUAUUGACAAAAUAUUUAUAAUUGACAAUAAUAAUAAGCUUUUCCCAAAACGACGUAACCUUGUCGCUAAUAAAUAACAAACCCACAACUUACAAACACUUUUAAUUUAACCCAGCUCUAAAGAUCGAGCCGUCGGCUAACCCUUUUUAGCCUGCGGUUCGAACCCAAAUCACACAACCCAAGUUUUACAACCUUAUUCAUCGGCGGUGGUCCAAGUCAUGUCAUUCUCGAAUAUCCAGUGGCAAACCUCGAUCCGACCCGGACCCGAACCUAAAGCCAAGAAAGCACCAUGGGUGGAGCUCCAAGAGGAAGUAUCCAGGUGACAUACGGCAACGCCGUGGUUGAUUUUCGCCUUGCUAUUCCGAUCCAAGAUGUCCGCUUCGUAAACCCGAACUUUGGGAACCGAGUGGCAGUAAUAGAGCAGGUACGGGAACAAGCUCUGGUGACAAGAUACUGACUUGGUCACUCUACCACCGUUGAUACCUUUGACCGAUCCGAUCAUGAUAUUCUUCUUUGACCCCUUCACGUUUUCAGUCGUACGAACCACCACAUUGCGGCCUAGGACGGAGGUGGCGAAGUCGAUUAAGUCCUCGGCGGAGCCAACGCAGCGCUUGGUCUCGCCGGGGCUAGGUGCUCUCUCGCACUCGUCAAGAGCGUCCAUAAUUAUGUUCUCCAUGGU